Molecule: ribosomal RNA, 455 nt
Filed under: uncultured bacterium
Lineage: Bacteria
Description: bacterial SSU rRNA
Rfam family: Bacterial small subunit ribosomal RNA
Source: RNAcentral
UACGGGAGGCAGCAGUGGGGAAUAUUGCACAAUGGGCGCAAGCCUGAUGCAGCCAUGCCGCGUGUAUGAAAAAGGCCUUCGGGUUGUAAAGUACUUUCAGUCGUGAGGAAGGUGUUAAGGUUAAUAACCUUAGCAAUUGACGUUAGCGACAGAAGAAGCACCGGCUAACUCCGUGCCAGCAGCCGCGGUAAUACGGAGGGUGCGAGCGUUAAUCGGAAUUACUGGGCGUAAAGGGCACGCAGGCGGUUAAUUAAGUUGGAUGUGAAAUCCCCGGGCUUAACCUGGGAAUGGCAUUCAAGACUGGUUAGCUAGAGUCUUGUAGAGGGGGUAGAAUUCCAUGUGUAGCGGUGAAAUGCGUAGAGAUGUGGAGGAAUACCGGUGGCGAAGGCGGCCCCUGGACAAAGACUGACGCUCAUGUGCGAAAAGCGUGGGGAGCAAAACAGGGAUUAGAUACC